RNAcentral lists this ribosomal RNA (210 nucleotides) under uncultured bacterium. Its description in RNAcentral is "partial 16S ribosomal RNA". It matches the Rfam family "Bacterial small subunit ribosomal RNA", at positions 524 to 732 of the family's 1533-position model. The record is from RNAcentral.
UACGGGGGGAGCAAGCGUUGUUCGGAUUUACUGGGCGUAAAGGGCGCGUAGGCGGUCGUGACAAGUCACUUGUGAAAUCUCCGGGCUUAACUCGGAACGGUCAAGUGAUACUGUCGGGCUCGAGCACUGUAGAGGCAGGUGGAAUUCCGGGUGUAGCGGUGGAAUGCGUAGAGAUCCGGAAGAACACCGGUGGCGAAGGCGGCCUGCUGG